UACGUGGGGACCAAGCGUUGUUCGGAUUUACUGGGCGUAAAGGGCGCGUAGGCGGCUUAACAAGUCACUUGUGAAAUCUCCGGGCUUAACUCGGAACGGCCAAGUGAAACUGUCAAGCUAGAGUGCAGAAGGGGCAAUCGGAAUUCUUGGUGUAGCGGUGAAAUGCGUAGAUAUCAAGAGGAACACCUGAGGUGAAGACGGGUUGCUGGGCUGACACUGACGCUGAGGCGCGAAAGCCAGGGGAGCAAACGGG
This 253-nucleotide ribosomal RNA is filed under the name uncultured bacterium. Its description in RNAcentral is "partial 16S ribosomal RNA". It matches the Rfam family "Bacterial small subunit ribosomal RNA", at positions 524 to 776 of the family's 1533-position model. The record is from RNAcentral.